This 381-nucleotide ribosomal RNA is filed under the name Apocephalus clavicauda. Its description in RNAcentral is "partial 28S ribosomal RNA". It matches the Rfam family "Eukaryotic large subunit ribosomal RNA", at positions 1071 to 1415 of the family's 3401-position model. The record is from RNAcentral. Lineage: Eukaryota; Metazoa; Arthropoda; Insecta; Diptera; Phoridae.
GGGUAAGAACCUCACCUAUCUUGAUAUGUAGGUGGGGUUGUGAUAUAUUGUGCCCAGUGGGCCACUUUUGGUAAGCAGAACUGGCGCUGUGGGAUGAACCAAACGCAAUGUUACGGUGCCAAAAUUUACAACUCAUGCAGAUACCAUGAAAGGCGUUGCUUGCUUAAAACAGCAGGACGGUGGACAUGGAAGUCGUAAUCCGCUAAGGAGUGUGUAACAACUCACCUGCCGAAGCAACUAGCCCUUAAAAUGGAUGGCGCUUAAGUUGUAUACCUAUACAUUGCCGCUAAUGUAGAUGAUCUAUAUCUAGUUUUGGCUUGAUAUUAGAUUUUGAAACAUUAGUGAGUAGGAGGGUACAAUGGUGUGCCUAGAAGUGUUUGG